UACGUAGGAAGCGAGCGUUGUCCGGAUUUACUGGGCGUAAAGGGCGUGUAGGCGGAGCGGCGCAUCCUGGAGUAAAUCUAUCGGCUCAACUGAUAGGCUUUCUAGGAGAUGGCCGCCCUUGAGGACAGCAGAGGAAAGUAGAAUUCCCGGUGUAGCGGUGAAAUGCGUAGAGAUCGGGAGGAACACCAGAGGCGAAAGCGGCGACCUGGACAGGCACUGACACUCAACUACGAAAGCGUGGGGAGCAAACAGG
RNAcentral lists this ribosomal RNA (253 nucleotides) under uncultured bacterium. RNAcentral's name for it is "partial 16S ribosomal RNA". It matches the Rfam family "Bacterial small subunit ribosomal RNA", at positions 524 to 776 of the family's 1533-position model. The record is from RNAcentral.